AGUGGCUGACCUGGUAGAGUGGUGUGGAGUUGGUGGUGGCCAUGUUCUACCAGCCAGGGACAACACAAGCCCUGUUCAUCUCAGGUUUGCUCUGGUCUGUGCCCAACCUGGGUCAUGCUGUGGACACAUGA
Small nucleolar RNA from Heterocephalus glaber (naked mole-rat), 131 nucleotides. The record is from Ensembl. Lineage: Eukaryota; Metazoa; Chordata; Mammalia; Rodentia; Bathyergidae.